Long non-coding RNA from Oncorhynchus tshawytscha (Chinook salmon), 613 nucleotides. The record is from Ensembl. Lineage: Eukaryota; Metazoa; Chordata; Actinopteri; Salmoniformes; Salmonidae.
CAUGGUGUAACAAUACAUCAUGUAGAUGUAUAUAAUGAACAGACUAGGUCUAUACUGCUCCUACAUGGUGUAACAAUACAUUUUGUAGAUGUAUAUAAUGAACAGACUAGGUCUAUACUGCUCCUACAUGGUGUAACAACACAUCAUGUAGAUGUAUAUAAUGAACAGACAAGGUCUAUACUGCUCCUACAUGCUUGCCACAGAUUGCGUGCAAGGAUUCAAAAUCAUCACAGCACAGCUACAUCAUUCCAUACAUCAGAUGGAUGGGGCGGCAGGGUAGCCUAGUGGUUAGAGCAUUGGACUAGUAACCGGGAAGGUUGCAAGUUCAAACCCCCGAACUGACAAGGUACAAAUCAGGUACAGUGAAUUUGUUCUUUAACUGACUUGCCUAGUUAAAUAAAGGUAAAAUAAAAAAAAUAAGAGAACUGACUAAACAUCUCACCAAUUGCUCUGCCAGGUACAAUGGAAAGCUUGUCAAAAAUCUGAAAGAAGCAGAUGAGCAGAAGAAGCCACACCAGAUGGGACACCAAUGUAGAGUUGGGCUGUAUAUUGUGAUUAAACAGUGAAAUAAGACCUGUACAUGUGACGUUGUUUGUUACUUUUUUUUUUUAAA